RNAcentral lists this unclassified non-coding RNA (329 nucleotides) under soil metagenome. RNAcentral's name for it is "partial contains 5.8S ribosomal RNA, internal transcribed spacer 2, and large subunit ribosomal RNA". The stretch from base 1 to 120 matches the Rfam family "5.8S ribosomal RNA", at positions 35 to 154 of the family's 154-position model. The record is from RNAcentral.
GAUGAAGAACGCAGCGAAAUGCGAUAAGUAAUGUGAAUUGCAGAAUUCAGUGAAUCAUCGAAUCUUUGAACGCACAUUGCGCCCCCUGGUAUUCCGGGGGGCAUGCCUGUCCGAGCGUCAUUGCAACCCUCAAGCUCAGCUUGGUGUUGGGCCCCGCCGCCCCGGCGGGCCCUAAAGUCAGUGGCGGUGCCGUCCGGCUCCGAGCGUAGUAAUUCUUCUCGCUCUGGAGGUCCGGUCGUGUGCUCGCCAGCAACCCCCAAUUUUUUUCGGGUUGACCUCGGAUCAGGUAGGGAUACCCGCUGAACUUAAGCAUAUCAAUAAGCGGAGGA